UCCACCUGAGAAGGCUAGGAUUGACCAAAAAAGCAAACAGCCUCCACCUGUCUGGGCUUUUGGCUUGUCCAAACAAGAGGCUUAGUCACUGGGUGAGAAGUAGGCAGACAGUAGCUACAAUGGAGGGGGCCGUACCUUCUAAAAGUUGGUCCUACCCCUUUUAACCUUCAUUAUCCCCCUAGUGCUCUCCCUUACCCUUCCUCCACAGCAGACAUAACUGGAGCAGCAAUGCGCUUCUGGAGAUCUGGUUUGGUUACCUUGUCCAAGACCAAGCCCCUUCUCUGACCUCCCCAUGGGGGAUGAGGCAUGGAAACUUUUAAAGGUGGUGCAAGAAAACUCUGGGGAGAGAAUCAGCAGGUGAAGGAGUAGCUCUGUGAAUCCUGUUUUAAGGGUAUGUCAUGUGUCAUGAAAUACAUCAUCUUGUCAAAGAAAUUUAAACUAAUAUCAGCUUCAGUAAGGAUCUGAGGUUGUCAGAUCACAAUUCACAAGAUGUGUAGUUAACAAACGACUCACAUCGCAAAAGGCACAGUAAAGGGAGCUGCAGAACAAGCACAAGUCGCUGUGUCUCUUGCCUUGAACAAAAAUAAAACCAGCAACACACAGACUACAACGGAGGAAAUAGUUAACCCGUUCUUCAGCUAUGUGGGUCCUCAAAAUAUGCUCAGUUUGGAGAAAGGUAACACUGAAUUGUGACACUAAGGCUUGUUUUAGUUACCCAUCAUGACUCUUUCAUGAAGGAAGUGACUUCCAAUUUGGUCUACACCAUCAUGUGGGACUUGCUCCAAAAUCAUAAAGAGACAUUCUGAAACAGUGACUGCUCAAAUUCAACCUCUCUCAAGGGGCAACAAAAAGAAAUUCACCAUAUCUGUACACAACUUUCAAAAGGGGAGCCACAAGAAAGUAAAAAGGCUAGCAGAAGAGGACAAUAAAAGGAAAAAAAUGUUUGAAAGCAGCAUGGAAACAAGUAGAAUUUUAAAGCAAAAGCAUCCUACCUGUCAAUAAAGACUUGAGAAAUGGCAAAUGCAAAUAGCUAAAUAGCAAUGCAAUGGAAACUAAUAAAUUAAGAAGGUGUCCUUGAAAAAAAAUGAAUUUGUGUCCAAGAAAUCAUAAACUUCAGCAGGCACAUUAUAAAAAGACAGUAAGGUGGAUCAGUGGAUCACAAAAAACGUCUGAAGAACAACUUGGAAAGGUGAAAAAAAUGAUGCCACAUACAUGUAUUUAUUUCAUAUAGAACAGAAGAAGAAAGCUUUGCAGAUAAUCUGCAAAAAGUAAAGAAAAAAAGUAAAGUAAAGAAAUAAUGUUUUAAGUAGAUAAAGGUUAUAACAUUGGAGGGGGGUUGUGGUUGGUUGGUUGGUUGUCUGUUUUUGUUGCUGCAUUCUGUAUUUAUUUAUUUAUUUAUUUAUUUAUUUUGCAUCCUGUUAACUGUGGGACAGUUUGAAUUGUAGAAGCAGGGAUCUUUCUUUUCAACAUAUGUGUCAGAGGCUUUGUCUGAAAUUAAAUUAUUGGCAGAAAAGGUUAUGGAUCAAGAUAAUAUGAGCAAUAACAAAUCACCGGGACCAGAUGGCUUCUGCCCCAGACUUCUGAGGGAAUUCGAGUGUGAAAUAGCCAAACUGCAAACUGUGGUGUGUAGAAAACUGACUCGGUGUCAGAGAACUAGAAAGUGGUUAAAACAACAACAUUUUAUUUAUUUAUUUAUUUAAUUAUAGAAAUACAUGUAGCUCCAGGGGAAUGAGUAAAGACUGGAAUUAAGUGACAUAUGGAUAAACACGAGAUGUCACAAACCUACUGGAGUUCUUUGAAGAGACAAACAAGCAUUUAGUUAGUGGAGUUUUCCUCAAUUUUGAUAGUAUUGACUGACUCAUCUGCAGACUGGACCCUUGGGAUUACCUCAGUAUCAGCAUGCUUCUGCCAGGAAAUUCUACCUGUCAAGUGGAGGAGGGAAGUUGUUUGGUUGUUGGAUAUUUUUUAAAAUUUACUUCUUAGUUUAAUUCAGAUUAAUCAAAAUGCUUGUAAGGUUCGUGCACCAGAAGUGUAAAGAGAAAACAAUUACAAAUAUGGUGUAAAGCUACAUCUAAAGAUCAUAUAAAGUCAGUGUUCAAGGUACUUCACAAUUUAUGCUUACUCUGAGAACAGCCAAAAUAAUCUACCUUUUAAUUAAAUUGAAGUUAAAUCACUUGAAUCUCAACAUUUUCAAAAACUUCAUUGCAUCAUCCCCAAUCAUAAAAUGUUUCUGAUUUUCCAUAGUUUUAACCUAUUUCUCUAAUCAUCAUCAAAAAUUAGAUGCAUGUUAUGUUGUGGGUGUGAUCCUGACACUUUCAUAAGAAAAUUUAAAGAGAAUAUUGUUCACAUACAGACAUAUGAGGAGAGUAUCAGGUAGUUGUCCAGUCCUGCACAUUGUCUACAGCACUGCUUCAGUGGAACACAUAGAAACUUCACACUCAGAGGAUUACUGUUUUUUCUUCCAUUGAAGGCAUGAACAAAAUAAUGCUGGAAAAUUUUGCAUAGUUUCUCGCACUGAGAUAAAUUGCAGAUUGUUUCCUUACAAAAUGUCAACUGAUAUUUAACACUUUGUUUUUAAUGUUAUCCUUUAUCUCAGUUGACAAAUGAUUCUUAAUGUGUGAACUUCUGGAAAGCUGGACUUCUUGAAAUGAGAGCAGUUUUCCUUUAAGCUACAUGAAAAUGUCACUUCCCUCCUCUCCGCAUGCUGGAGAAAUGCAAUGAAAUGUGGAAAUGAGAUCUGAGUCUAAAAUAAAUAAAUAAAUAAAUAAAGUUUUGUAUCUAUGAGAUUCUUGAAAACUGAAUUAAGUGGCAAAUGCCUUGAUGACAGGCAGCUUAGGAGGAGGCGUGAGAACAUUUUAACUAACAAAGGUGAAAUUUUUAAAAGGCAGCCUAAAUUUGAAAGGCAAGUGAUAUGCGAUAAUUGUUUUGUUUAAUAAACUUUUCUAGAUUUUUUUUUGAAAUUGUUAAAAGCAAAUUAGACUCCUGUUUAGUUUUUUCCAUAAUAGAUCUUUAAAUGAGGUUCCACAAUAAUUUCUGUGACUAAUUCUUAGAGAAGAAAUAGCAUGUACAAUGGUCAAUGACAAAAAAUUUGUUUACUUUAGGGAGGUCAGCAUUACAAAUUUAUUUGCUGCUUUUUUAUGAAGAUCUGCUAAUUAUGGUUCAUGUGUUAGAGGAAAUCUAGAGCAAAUCUAUUCCCUAAUUCCUAGAUGAGAGCUUAUUUACCUGACAAUUUGAUUUUUCCCUGACUGUCUUGUCUUUGUUUUGCUCUGAAAUGUGGUUGUAGUAUAAUUACAUACUUUUAAUGUAUGAAGCAGAACACUCUUAGUACAUCUUUAAGAUCUCAAACACCUUAACUUAAUUCAAUAUUAAUAUUUUUUUUUUCUGAUACAAAUGCUAAUAAAAAUAUGAAGAAUUUAUAAUCCUUAAAAUUAGCUGUACCAUUUGUUCUCACCUUAACAGGUAAUAACUGUUUUUUUCUGCCUAGUCUUCUAGUUUUUCAACUUAUCUCUAAGAAAUUGUAUAUUACUGCAGUCUAAAAAUAAAUAGACUGGACUAUUUACAGACAUCAUACAAAAUUGAAAAUAAAACCGUGCUACAAUAGCACACUUACACCAUUUCUUUACUAUAAUAGAAAGGAAAAUUCUUUUUUGGCUGUAAGUUAAUGAAAGUAUUUUAUAAAGCUUUCCAAUACUUACUUCAUCGUAAUCUUGCUACAUGAAAACAGCACUACAGCAUGCUAUUUACUGAAAACAUUGAGAAGAGCCAGUUGGACAAUUAGAGAAAAAAGUUGUCAAUUUUUCAGUAUAGAGAAAACAUUUUAUUCAAGCCAGAAUGUAUAACACUGAAAAUGCUAAUAAGCCUUCUAAAAUGUACAGGAAGGAAAAAAAAAAAAGUGCAAAUGCUAUUUCCACAUAAUUAAUACUUCUCUAAGGUUAUAAUUUUUUUCUUUUUCUAGCCAUAUAGUUUGAAAUUGUUUUCUCUAGAUAUUCCCAAGAGAAUCAAAUCCUAUCACUAUAAAACUGGUUCACCUAUAGGGAUAGAUACUGAUUCCUCUGACUUUUACAAUUUUUCCAUUGCUGCCGUUGUGUUCAACUUGGUGUCCACCAGGACCCCCAGGUCCUCCUCUGCCAAGCUGCUUUCCAACCACUGCUGGUGCAUGGGGUUAUUCCUCUCCAGGUACAGAACAUCGUAUUUUCCUUUGCUGGGCUACUACUCUAAGAAACUUCCAGGUCCGAGGAACUGGGAUAUUUUCAUGAGGAACCCAGAACCCCUCCCACUGUGCUCGCAGACACCCCAGACCCCUCCUUGCGUGCACGCAGGCACAACCCAGAAGAAUCCCACAAAGGCUUUCAUUUCCAACCUGAAGUGUUCCUAUGGUAUGUCCUUGGGCACUGGCAAGACCAUACUAAAUCAGUUGGGCUGGGAGCUGGACUGGGUUUACUUGGUAGCAGGAGGGCUACAGGCUUGCUGUACAGGCUCUCAGGAGGCAGCUGGAGGCAGCAGUCGGGUCCACCCCUGAGCCUUCUCUCCUUAAUGCUGACCCAAGGAGUUCCCUCAGCCUGCCCUUGUACGCCGUGUGCCCCAGGGCCACGCUGUCUUGAAUGCCCUGGGCUGGGCACACUACACUACACACACUGCACACACAUCGGUAUCUUUCCUCUCCUGGGAACACCCAGGGAAGGGGAUGCAGCAGUACAGACGCAGUCGCUAAAUUGUCCCCAAAGAAGAAAGUGGCUCUCUGUGAUUUUUUAUCACUUUUUCAUUUUAUUUUUUAUUGCUGUUUAUUGCCUGGUCUUGGAAGAGCUCCUAAUGAAGCUCUUCUUUGUUCUUCUCUGAAUGAACAGUGACGCUGCGCUCCAGCACCUCUUCCCGGCAGACGAGAAGUCUUCUGCUUCUUCAGAGGAGCAGCUGUCUCCCUAACAGCUUUGAUCUGCAGCUCUUCUUUGUGCUUUGCCGUGGAAGGUGCGGCUUCCUCUUCAAGCAGCCAUGGGGCAGCCUUCUUGUCCUCACACAGAGACAUCGCCGGGCUCCUGGUCCCAAGGUCCACCGUGGCUCUCUGAGGGGUUCCUUCUGCCGCCCUGGUGCAGCAUCCCAGAGGAAGCCAAGUCCCCUCUCGUCCACUCCUUGAGACUCCCUCCGUGCAGAAGAGAUGACACCUCUGGACGAGGUGGGGGUGGGGGAUGGAGGAUGGGGGAAAGGGAAGGGAAGGGAAGGAUGGCCGUGCUAUGAGGCACGGCGGCCGGGCCGUGGAUAAGGAGCUGGUGGUCUGCUCCUGCGGUGCCGCCGAUGGAUGUUGGCGGCUGGGAGCCCAGGCACGUCGAUGUCCAUUGCCUCGUCUGGAGGUGGAUCCACCUCCAUCAGGUCUUCAUCCGGAGGCAGAUCCACCUCCAUGGGCUCCACAGCAUUUGCUGCACCGCAGGGCACUGCUCCUUUGCGACCGGCGCCGGCCCUCUUCCACUUCCUCAACAGAGGCAGUGGCCUCAUUCUCUUUGGCUUGAGGAACGAAUCCUCUCCUGACCCACGUAAGGGUGGGCAGCCUCCGCUCCAGGUCCUCUUUCUUCCAUCCAUGACGGCUGUCAGAGGGCCUGGAAGCUCAGCGAGUGGCGGGCCCUGCGCAGGGGCCUUUUAUAGGGCCCGGCACAAUCCGGGGGGCAGAUGCCACUGUGACAUCAGGAAGCCUCUGUGACGGUGGCCAACGCAUGGCCAGACGUGGCUGUGUUGGGAGAGGUGUCGGUGGCCUGAAGGAUGCCCUCACGAGGCGAGGCAGGAGGAGGAGGGUCGGGGGGCAGAGGGCCCCUCUCCUGGGGGUGGCUCUCCCUGGCCAUUUGGCCUGCCAGAGAGACAGGCUGCCCCUCAGGCACAGGGCCUGCCCUCCAGCCCCCUCCUCAUCCUGUGCCUGGGCUCCCUGUGCCACAAGACAGUGGCAGCAGUGUUUCUGGAAGGGCAGGGCCUCCACUACCCCCCUGCCACCGACCAGGUUCCCCCCAUGCUGACAGCAGCUGAGAGGGGGCAAAGCACCCAGACAGCCUGCAGAUGGGCAAGGGAGGCACAGCCAGGUGCUGCCAGGUCUCCCAGCAGUCAAUAAAAGCUCUGCUGACACUCAAGUGCUGUGGGAGCCCUUCCUCUAUUAUUAAACCAUUCAUUAAUGCGGUAGAUAAAAACUCCGUUGCACUGAGAAUCUGCCAUGGCAUCACAGAAAGCAGAGAAGCGUCGCCUCAUCUAGCUUGGAAAAGACUCUUAAGAUCGUCAAGUCCAACCAUCCACCUAACUAUCAAGUCUACUACUAACCCAUGUCCCUGUGCGCCACAUCCGCACAUUUCUUAAGUCCUCCAGGGAUGGCAACUCCACUGCUUCCCUGGGCAACCCGUCCCAAUGCCUUACCACCCUUUUCUUGAAGAAAUUCUUCCUUAGACCCAUCUAACCCUCCCCCGGGGCAACUUGAGGCUGCUUCCUCACGUCCUACCAUUUGUCACCUGAGAAAAGAGAUUGAUACCAUACUUGGUUCAACCUCCUUGCAGGCCACUGUAGGGAGUGGUGAGGUCUCCCUUCAGCCUCCUUCUCUCCAGUGUACCCUGCUUGGAAAUGAUGCAGGUAUGCCAUGACAGGAAAACAAUCAUGCCAUGCAACGUAGCAUUAGGCUUUUCAACUUGUGGAAUAUUUCUCUUGUGCUGUUUAGAACAUAGACCACAGUCAAUUUCCGCUUUAAGAAAAUCCUUUUUUACCAAAAUUGAUUCUUGGCACUGCCGUCUAUGAAAUGAUUACUAAAGCAUGACGGAACACAAAGAUGAAAAACUCUUAGUGUAGCAUUCACUGCGCUGACUCCGUGUCAUUUGAAGUUCCUGAUACACUUGUUAAAUGUGCCUGGACAGCUUGAACUGUAUCUCUGGUACUCAGCAAAUAGCAAAUGACUGUACUGAAAACACCUGAAACUGCACCAGCUUACAUACAGAGUGCAGGGAGCAAUGCGCUUAGGCAUGAAGGAGGCUGUCACCAGCCUUUUAUUUCUUCAAUAUAAUGCAGGAAAACCCUAUAUUUUCCAAGCUAGGCUUUAUAGCUAAUUUCUUAUACUACUAUUGCAGUGUUGAAGCACCUCACAGCCUUCACCUCCUCUUGGAGUGUCUCUGUAAGAUAGAAGAAGACACCUUGGACACUGAGAUCAAACAGAAUCACAGAAGCAGAGCAUUACUGAGUCUGGAAGGGACCUCUGAAUAUCAUCUCGUCCAAAUUCCCUCCUCAAAACAGGGUCAACUAGAGCAGGUUGCUCAAGGUCAUGUCCACUCAAGUUUGGAAUAUGUCCAUAGAAGGAGACUCUACAACUGCUCUGGGCAAGCUGUUCCAACGCUCGCUCACCCUCCCAGUAAAAAAAAAAAAAUACAUAUACACAUUGACAAGAUCCCUCUGAUCCUUCUCUAAGCUGAAUAAUCCCAGCUCUCUCAGCCUUCCUCGUAUGAGAGACGCUCCCGUCCCUUAAUAAUCUUUAUUACUUUCCACUUCACUCUUGCUUCAGGAAGUCCAUGUCCUUCUGGUAGUGCAGAGCAGGGGAGGAGCCAGUGCCCCAGCUGGGGCCUCACCACUGCUAAGUAGAGGGAACAUCAUCUCCCUUGACCUGCUGGCAACACUGUUCCUGAUGUAGCCCAGGGUCCUGAUGGCUUUCUUUUUUUUCAAAGGCGCAUUACUGGCUUGUGUUCAACUUGGUGUCCACCAGGACCCCCAGGUCCUCCUCUGCCAAGCUGCUUUCCAGCCAGUGCUGGUGCAUGGGCUUAUUCCUCUCCAGGUACAGAACAUCGUAUUUUCCUUUGCUGGGCUACUACUCUAAGAAACUUCCAGGUCUGAGGAACUGGGAUAUUGUCAUGAGUAAACAAUGCAUUAGCAGAGCUUUGAGAAGUCAGCGUUGGGCUUUGCACCUUAGUGCCCACUGGCAUGCAAGACGCAACAAAGCCUGUGGGAGCAUUUUGUUCUGCCCAGGCUAAUUGGAUUUGCUUGUCACUUCAAGUUGUGCCGUAGCAGAAGACAAGACUACCUGCUAUAUGACAAGGAAAUCCUGCAGGAAAACCAACUUGUUUCUUUGUGCUUUCCAAAACAUUAAAUAGAAGGUGUAAAAU
This is a long non-coding RNA of Anas platyrhynchos (mallard), 8102 nucleotides long. RefSeq lists it as uncharacterized. The record is from RefSeq and is a predicted model, not a curated record. NCBI's taxonomy places the organism in Eukaryota, Metazoa, Chordata, Aves, Anseriformes, Anatidae.